GGGACGCCAUAUUCGUGCGGUAGUAAACUGAUAGGUGUCAUUGUGACGUGCUAUCCAAGAUUGGGAUAUGAAUCACAGUUGAGAGCAACCUAAGUCAGUAAUUGAAAUACGUAGCUUUCUAUGCUUAGCUGGUUAUUAUCGAAGAUUUUGUGGAAAGAUUUUCUCGAAUCGCUACUCCAUUAACGCAGCUGACUCGUAGAGAUAC
Molecule: long non-coding RNA, 205 nt
Filed under: Panax ginseng (ginseng)
Lineage: Eukaryota; Viridiplantae; Streptophyta; Magnoliopsida; Apiales; Araliaceae
Description: long non-coding RNA (PGIN_LNC000069)
Source: RNAcentral